Molecule: RNA transcript, 3799 nt
Organism: Solanum dulcamara
Lineage: Eukaryota; Viridiplantae; Streptophyta; Magnoliopsida; Solanales; Solanaceae
Gene name: putative pentatricopeptide repeat-containing protein At1g64310
Exons: 3
Source: RefSeq, a predicted model, not a curated record
CAAAAAUUACAUAAAAUUUGGAGUCCCGUUUCUGAUUUUCUCGUUUGGUACAAAAUUCCUAACCAUUUUGGGCCUCUGUAUUUUCAUGUCCUUCAUGGGAGGUGGUUUGAAAUGUGCUGAUGUUCAUCCCGUUCCACUCCCUUCUUUCUCAACUCUCAAAGCUGAAGCUUCCCAUCUCAAGAACCAAAGAGCUUCACGCUUUCAUAAUCAAGACUCAUCUCUCACACGACCCAUUUUACGCUACAAGAAUCCUAAGGUUCUAUGCUCUAAACAACGAUAUCAUCUCAGCACGCAAUCUGUUUGAUAAAACUCCCCACCGAAGCAUUUACCUCUGGAACUCCUUAAUUCGAGCUUAUGCUAGAGCCCACAAAUUUCGAAAUGCAUUUUCGCUGUUUAAGGACAUGCUUCACUCUGAAAUUAUGCCUGAUAAUUUCACUUAUGCAUGCCUUGUUCGAGCCAGCUCUGAGAAUUUUGAUUUGCACAGCUUGAGACUUGUACAUGGAGGGGUUGUUCUCUCCGGGUUGCAGUUGGACUUUAUCUGUUGUAGUCAACUUGUUAGUGCUUAUUCAAGAUUAGGCUGUAUAGCUGAUGCGAGCAAGGUGUUUUCUGGGAUAACUGAGCCGGAUUUGGUUCUAUGGAAUUCAAUGAUAUCAGGUUAUGGGUGUCUUGGAGAGUUGGAGGGGAUAGAAUUGUUCAAUAGAAUGCAGAAAAAUGGGGUGAAGCCUGAUGAGUACUCAAUGGUAGGCCUGAUUAUGACUAUAGAUGAUUCUAGUGUGAUGAAAAUAGGUGAAGCAAUCCAUGGAUUUUGUUUAAAACUUGGUCUAGAGUCAAACGAUCAUGUAAGCAGUCUUCUUGUUAGUAUGUAUUCUAGGUGUAAAUGUAUGGAUUCAGCAUUAAGCGUCUUUGGUAGACUUGUAGAACCUGAUUUAGUUACAUGGUCUGCUUUAAUAAGCGGUGUUUCGCUGUGUGGGGAUUGUGUCAAGGCCUUGGAUUUCUUCAGAGAAAUGAAUAUGAAAGGUGGGAAGGCAGAUGCAUCGCUGAUAGCCACUGUACUGACUGCUUGUUCUCAGUUGGCAAAUGUGCAACCAGGCAGUGAGAUACAUGGUUAUUCUUUUCGACAUGGAUAUCACUCGCAGAUAUUCGAGAAGGCACUGGAGGAAGGGCAAAAACCAGAUGAAGCUACUUUUUCUGCACUCCUUUGUGCAUGUUGCCAUGCUGGUCUUGUCAAUGAUGGUCGAGAAUAUUUCAGAAGAAUGAAAGAUCAAUUUGGAAUCUCAGCUAACACCGAACAUUAUAUUUACAUGGUAAAGCUUCUUGGAAUGGAAGGACAAUUAAGAGAAGCUUAUGAACUUGUCCAGUCUCUGCAAGAACCAAUUGACUCUGGCAUUUGGGGGGCACUAUUGUCAUGCUGUGAUGCUCACAGAAAUUAUGAGUUGGCAGAUAUUAUAGCUUGUCGUCUUUUUGGUAAUAAGCUAGAGAAUAGUAGUUACAGAAUUAUGCUUUCAAAUAUGUAUGCUCGCGAUGGGAGGUGGGAUUUGGUAAAUAAGUUGAGAGUAGAUUCUGGAUCAACAAAGUCGAAACUUCCUGGAAAAAGCUGGAUUACUAGUAAAAACCAUUCCUUUGAAAGAAACUCUUGAGGUGUCUCUGCGACAUCUUGCUAGAGUUAACAGUUGUUGAAUCUAGAAUCAGAAGUUGCGAGAGGAGGUCUCUGUCAUUAAUGAAAGCCCAAUAUGCGUGAUUUCAAACUGAUGGCCACUUUGACUGCUCAAGAAUGGUAAUCAUUUCAUCUUGUAAGUUUGAGACAAAUUCGCCGAUCUUUGUAAUUGUAUUCAUGGUCACCGAAAUUUUGUCUGAUGGUAUGAUGCAGCCAUGAAUGUUUAGGUAAAAUAGAGGAAAGCAGAAUUCUUCCUCUCUUUUUUUCUUCAUUUUGAGAGUCAUGGCAACCUCUCUCUUUCUACCUACAUUCAGAUUUCAGGGACUUAUCCACUCUUCUCAGAGAGAAUGAGAGAGAGAGAGAGAGUGAAAGAGAGAGAUAACUACUAGGGAGUUAUUGCUGUUUGUUGCCUAUUCCGAAAAGUGUGUUUCAUUUUCGUACUUUGUACAUUGGUGGAACUUGUGUUGAAGUGUUUACAAGAUUAUGCAUCUGGGGUCUUUAUGGCUUUGAGACCACUGGCUUGUUUGUUACUCUGUACCCUUUAAUUAGAAAAUUUGUUGAUCCUCCUAAAAAACUAGAGUGUUAAAGCUAGAUCAACAUCUAUUACUUCUCUUGUUUCACCAUUAGUUUAUGAACGUUGUUACCGGAAUCAAUAAUCAUCCGUGACUGACAAUUAAACUUUUCCCACCUUCUCUUCAAUUGUUUGCAAAAAUAUCUAUUCUGUUACUUAAGGUUUUAUCAAGGAUACUUGGAAUUCACAACUUUGUACUUCAUGGUAGGCGAGGGAAAAAUAUAAAAGAAAUCACAAUGCUGUGCUUCUGAUUUAAUAGGUAACCUGUACAGGUUGUUGUAAUGUCUCACUUUAUGUUGUUCAUUUGAAGUGUGGAUAAAAUCUUAGCUGUUGCAUAGUAUGAAGGAAGUUAUCCCUUUGAAUGGAUUUGCUUAGCAUACGUUUGGAAGAAUAAUCAUCUUGCUAAUACCGCUGCAUGUGUAACACGCCAUGAGAAGACUCUAUUAAUAACAUCUUAAGAAUUGCUGAGGCUUCAUACUUCGAACAAGUAUGUGCGCUGUUGAUAUUGACAUCUUUUAGACCAUUAACAUAAGUCAGUGAAAAAUGUCUCUAACAUGGGGCAAGGAGUAUAUUGUCUGCAGGCUCAAUUCUCUUCGGUGCAGGCAUCAUGUGUUUCAUAGUCCCCAAUCAGAGGUAGUAGAGUUGCGUUUGCUAGCUUCAAAGGCUCUGAAGGACAGACAAAGUUUUCUUUGUAAAUGUGAUAUGAUAAAUUGUGAUAUCAGCUGAAAUUUUUACUUGGCCAAACACUAUAGAAGGCAUUUAAUAAGGAGAGAUAUUUAACUUAAAGAGCCAGAAAGUGGAAUAAGUAGGAGUUGAAAUGCCAGAAGUCAUAAUCAGGACUGGUUCUCGCCAUCAGUGCAUUUAGUGUAUGAACAAGACCAUUUUCCUAAUCAAUUAUAUUCUAAUCACUGCAUCUUGAUUCCUAUUAUAUUCUAUCAAUAAUAUCAUUAAACUUUAGCUCAAUCUCAAACAAGUUGAUCCUUCCACAUUUUAUUGCCAUAAAAUUUGAACAAUAUAUGCAUGUGUAAAUAGUUUGUGGGAGUCUUUUGGUGUGUGUAAUUCCAUCCCAUUGUCAAUUGCUAUAUCCUACAUCUUCUGUUGGCAUUGUCUGUCUUUUCCAUGACAGUGUGUUAAAUCUUUGCUAAACUUCAUUUAUGUUAAUUGAACUUUUGAAAUUUUUUAAGAUGCAAUUAUUUGAAAUGCAUUUUUCUUCAAAUUGCUAUACUUGCUAAAGGAGACCAAGUGUGCUUAAUAUAUGAUAUGGGUGUGUAAGCUAUUUGAUAUAGUUUAAGUAUGCUGUAAUUUUUAUUAUAUGACCAGUUGCUCAGUCAGUAUUGGAAUCCUAACCCCUAGAUGCAAUUUUAGUGUUCUUACUGAUUGCUAUCUAAAUGUUGCAUAAGCGAACAUUUGCGUUGGCGUUUUAGAACUCUUCUAAAAUGCACACUUUUAAAUGUAUUAACGGUGCAUAAGCUGAUAGAUAAAAACAGUUUUCUCAUAUACCCUUUUUUCAGUGUCAAUGGCACUUACGAGUAACUUUGCUAGUUGCAUCACUAACAUACUUUUCUUUCAUUUUG